ACAGCUGUGGGUGAAAGGGAUGUGAGGGGCACUGUGGGUCCAGGAACGUAGGGGUUGUGGGGGCACGUGGGGAGCGGUUUGGGGUGAGAAUGGAGGAUGUGCGGUGGUGUUGGAGUGCACUGGUUGAUUUCUUCCUGGGAGGGGAUUGGGGUUCCCUUUGGCCCAAAGGUGGAGCCCUGAUCCAUAACCCCACGUGAGCCCAGAGCCCCAUAUAACUCUGCAUGAGCCCAAGGCUCCCCAUGACCCAUAACCGUGUGAGCACCGUAAGCCCAUAUGAGGCUGAGGGCAGUGAUGGGUCUGUUACUGGCUAGGUCAGGAAGUACUCUAGGGUGGCUCUGGGGCCGCUGUAGAAUAGCGCUCUGUAUCUGCCCCUGACCCUCAUCUUGGGGGGUAAGAUGGGGGUGCAGGGGUUAGUGGAGGGCUAAGGAAGAGAUUCCAUGAGUAUGAACCAUAGCAGCCCCAGAGCCAUCCUAGAGCAGCGCCAUCACUGCCCAUGGCCCAUGGCCAGCAGCAGUUCCACCACAAGCUGUGUGUUGGGUCAAGGCAGCUCCUAGGUGUUGCUCUGCUUCAUAGCUGCCCCAAAGUGCCCCUGUAGCCCUCCCAUAGGUGUCCUUUAACUGCCCCACCACCCCGUAAGUCUUCCCCACGUCCUAGCACAUCCCCCCACGUGCGUGCAGGGUGUGCAAGAAACGCUCUCAUCCCUGAUAUUCCAUCAGGCACAGCCCUUCGUGCAGCAGCAAAGCUCCUUCCUGAUUGCUGUGGCGUUACUUCACUCUCCUCAGUGAGUUCCUUCUGCUCCCGUUGGGUUGGUUGAGUUGGGUUGGUUGGGAUGAGGUGGGGGCAGGGAUCCCAGAGUUCUGGGGCCACAUGGCAUCGGGUCGCAGCGUGUUGGGGGCAGGAAGGGUCAGGGAGUCACAGGGUCUUGUGGGGGUGUGGUUCACCCAGGGCUGUGGGUCACGUAUAGCCAUGGUGUCAUGCACAUACAGGGUGAUGAGAUCAUCUUGGCUUAAGGCUCAUGUGGGGUUACGGCUCAGGGCCCCACCUUUGGGCUGCAUGGACCCCCAGUCCCCUCUCAGGAAGAAAUGAAACCCCUCCUACACCGCUGCCCCCUUCCCCCCCUUUUUUUUUUUUUUUACCUCAAACUGCUCCCCACAUCCUCCCAUAGCACCCCAUACUCCCGCGUCCCUCUUGCAGCCCACAUCUUGUCUUCUCCUGAACAGCAUUCUGCUCCUGCAGGCUGUGUUGUCAUAUCCAUUCUAUAUCCCCCACAACCUCUCCCACAGACCCACAUAGCUCCUCAAGUACUUUCUCUGACCUGGUACACCUCCCCCACCGCCAACCUGGGACCUCGCAGAGCCCCACAGUCCCCAGCAGCACCCCACGUCCCCCACGGUUCUUCAAGGAUCCCUCCGAUUUGAGGGAGGCUCAGACCUCCCUUUAUGCCUCAGACCCCUCCUGUGUUCUCUGACUCCCACAGUCCCUGACAGGACCCCCAUCACCAUCCCAGGACCCCCAUAGCCCACUGAUGAGGAACCCCGCAGCAAUCCACAUCUCAGGAUGGGGCUCCAGCUUUGCCCCAAUGCCUGCAUUAAAGAGAGGAGAAUGAAUGAGCGUAACGGGGCACCUUUCCUCCUGACAUUACCAACUGCCUGCGUGUUGGCUGUGCCACGUGAGCGGCAUUUUGUCCUCGAGCUGUGAGUGCAGAUGCGCGUGCAAGGGGGCAGUGGAGGCUCCUGGGAACGGGAG
Molecule: long non-coding RNA, 1746 nt
Organism: Gallus gallus (chicken)
Lineage: Eukaryota; Metazoa; Chordata; Aves; Galliformes; Phasianidae
Source: Ensembl